This 1494-nucleotide ribosomal RNA is filed under the name uncultured bacterium. RNAcentral describes it as "partial 16S ribosomal RNA". It matches the Rfam family "Bacterial small subunit ribosomal RNA". The record is from RNAcentral.
AGGGUUUGAUCCUGGCUCAGGACGAACGCUGGCGGUGCGCCUUAUGCAUGCAAGUCGAGCGAAGCUUUUCAGUAGUUUACUACAGAAAAUGACUGAGCGGCGAACGGGUGAGUAACGCGUGAGCAACCUACCUUAGUUACUGGGAUAGCCCGAGGAAACUCGGAUUAAUACCGGAUAUUCUUAUUUAAUCACAUGAUUUUUUAAGGAAAGGUCAGCCGAACUAAGAUGGGCUCGCGUUCUAUCAGCUAGUUGGUAGGGUAAUGGCCUACCAAGGCUACGACGGAUAGCUGGUCUGAGAGGACGAUCAGCCACACUGGGACUGAGACACGGCCCAGACUCCUACGGGAGGCUGCAGCAGGGAAUAUUGCGCAAUGAGCGAAAGCUUGACGCAGCGACACCGCGUGUGGGAUGACGGAUCUAGGUUUGUAAACCACUUUCAGGAGGGAAGAAAAUGACGGUACCUCCACAAGAAGCCCCGGCCAACUACGUGCCAGCAGCCGCGGUAAUACGUAGGGGGCGAGCGUUGUCCGGAUUUAUUGGGCGUAAAGAGCUCGUAGGCGGUUCAACAAGUCGGUCGUGAAAGUUCAGGGCUCAACCCUGAAAUGUCGAUCGAUACUGUUGUGACUAGGAUACGGUAGAGGUGAGUGGAAUUCCGAGUGUAGCGGUGAAAUGCGUAGAUAUUCGGAGGAACACCAAUUGCGAAGGCAGCUCACUGGGCCGCUAUCGACGCUGAGGAGCGAAAGCUAGGGGAGCAAACAGGAUUAGAUACCCUGGUAGUCCUAGCUGUAAACGAUGGAUACUAGACGUAGGAAUUGGAUUAACGAUUUCUGUGUCGUAGCUAACGCGUUAAGUAUCCCGCCUGGGGAGUACGGUCGCAAGACUAAAACUCAAAGGAAUUGACGGGACCCCGCACAAGUAGUGGAGCAUGUGGUUUAAUUCGAAGAUACGCGCAGAACCUUACCAACACUUGACAUGUUCGUCGCGACUUUAAGAGAUUAGAGUUUUCGGUUCGGCCGGACGAAACACAGGUGCUGCAUGGCUGUCGUCAGCUCGUGUCGUGAGAUGUUGGGUUAAGUCCCGCAACGAGCGCAACCCUUACCUUCAAUUGCCAGCACAUUAUGGUGGGAACUUUGAAGGAACUGCCGGUGAUAAGCCGGAGGAAGGUGGGGAUGACGUCAAGUCCUCAUGGCCCUUACGGGCCGGGCUACACACGUGAUACAAUGGUAACUACAAAGGGCAGCGAAGGAGCGAUCUGGAGCAAAUCUCAAAAAGUUACCUCAGUUCGGAUUGCACUCUGCAACUCGAGUGCAUGAAGUUGGAAUCGCUAGUAAUCGUAGAUCAGCGCGCUACGGUGAAUACGUUCCCGGGUCUUGUACACACCGCCCGUCACACCAUGGGAGUUGGUUUUACCAGAAGUGGCUAGCUUAACCGUAAGGAAAGCGGUUACCACGGUAGGAUUCGUGACUGGGGUGAAGUCAUAACAAGGUAACCGUA